RNAcentral lists this small nucleolar RNA (101 nucleotides) under Carlito syrichta (Philippine tarsier). The record is from RNAcentral. Lineage: Eukaryota; Metazoa; Chordata; Mammalia; Primates; Tarsiidae.
UUAAAUGUCCAUCACUGGAAACACCUUAUAGAGUAAUUCUUGUUUUUACUUUACUCACAGAACUAUUUGUUAGAUCUGUGCAAAGAAACUACAAGACAGAG